RNAcentral lists this unclassified non-coding RNA (229 nucleotides) under plant metagenome. RNAcentral's name for it is "partial contains small subunit ribosomal RNA, internal transcribed spacer 1, and 5.8S ribosomal RNA". The record is from RNAcentral.
UCUCCGUAGGUGAACCUGCGGAGGGAUCACUACAGAGUUCAUGCCCUACCGGGUAGAUCUCCCACCCUAUGUUAUUAUUACUUUGUUGCUUUGGCGGGCCGUUAGGCUCCGGCCCGACUACCGGCCCCGGCUGGUAAGCGCCCGCCAGAGGACCCAAAACCCUGAAUAUUAGUGUCGUCUGAGUACUAUAUAAUAGUUAAAACUUUCAACAACGGAUCUCUUGGUUCUG